This 326-nucleotide ribosomal RNA is filed under the name uncultured eukaryote. RNAcentral describes it as "partial 18S ribosomal RNA". It matches the Rfam family "Eukaryotic small subunit ribosomal RNA", at positions 1470 to 1796 of the family's 1831-position model. The record is from RNAcentral.
CCCUUAGAUGUCCUGGGCCGCACGCGCGCUACACUGAUGCAUUCAACGAGUAAUUAUUCCUUGGCCGAGAGGCCUGGGUAAUCUUUUAAACGUGCAUCGUGAUAGGGAUAGAUUAUUGCAAUUAUUAAUCUUGAACGAGGAAUUCCUAGUAAACGCAGAUCAUCAAUCUGCAUUGAUUACGUCCCUGCCCUUUGUACACACCGCCCGUCGCUCCUACCGAUUGAAUGCUCAGGUGAGCCAUUCGGACUUUCAUCAUGCUGGUUUCCAGUUUUGAUGAAGGAAAGUCUUGCGAACCUUAUCAUUUAGAGGAAGGAGAAGUCGUAACA